CCCAUUAGCUCAAGCAAUAAAACUCCCUCUCAUAGAAACUGGCUGUGUUUUUAAGCACGAUUCAUCAUCAUAAAGCAUUGAGAGUCACUUUGGUCAUUUUUUUUCAGGCAGAGAACAGGUCAGUGUUGUUUUUUGUUGUCCUAGGAGUCACUCAUCAAACUUUCAUAGAAUCACAAACCAUUUUAUUUAUAUUCAGAGGGCUUACUGUUGUAGGUAUUCAUAUGCUGCAAAUAAAACCCAAUGGAAGUACAUUUGGAAACUGAGUUUUAGGGAAUACCUGGCUUAAUUUUUAAAGAAAAGAAAAGCAUCAUCAUUCUUUCCAUUCUUUUUAUUCAUAUGUGUAUUUUGUUUGGACUUCAGGUGCAAAGGGUAGAAUUGAUCACAAUUAUCUAUGGUUCAUAAUUGACAUUGAUUCAUUCAAAGCUUUAUCUUGCUUCAUUCAUUUAUUUACUCCUUUUACCCCUAUUUCCCAUUCCCAUUCCCUUUCAUGGGCAAACAUUCAAAUAUAUUUUCAUUUGUAAACUUUCGUUUGUGUGUGUAUUAUUCACUGUGUGGGUUUUAUUUCACUAUUUUAAAGUUAUAUAUUUAUAUUUGCUCUUAUGGCAUGUCUUAGUUCAGGCUGUUAAAAUACAAUCAAUACCACAGACUAGGUGGCAUAUACACCAAAAAUUUAUUCUCGAAGUUCUGGAGGCUGGGAAGUCUAAGAUCAAGGUACAAGCAGAUCUGGUGUCUGGUGAGGACCUGUUUUCUGGUUUUCAGAUAGCUGUCUUCUUGUAUCCUCACAUUGCAUUGUGCAGAAAGAGAGAAAAAAGCAAGUUCUCUGGUGUCUCUUUUUUAUAAGGCUCUACCCUUAUGACCUAAUCACCUCCCAAAGACCUCACCUACAAAUAUCAUCACCUUGGGGAUUAGACUUUCAGUAUAUGAAUUUGGGAGAACACAAACGUUCUGUCCAUAGCAUGGUAGUUUCCCCAACUUGGAACUUAAAGUCAUGUUAUUAAUACAUUGUUACAAGGUAUUUGAUUAUCCUUACUCUCUGUAUCUUUGGAAGUACCCUCGUGAGUUUUUUUUUUCUUGAAGCCUAUAUCACAUUAGUGUUUUUGAUAUUAGACUUUCAGUUAAUGUUAAAUCUAUGAGGCCUUUCUUAUUUUUUACCAAAGAAAAUCUUUUCUGAACCUUUGGCUGUAUAUAAAAUUCUAAGUUCAAAGUUUAUUUUCCAUUAAUACUUUAAAAAUAUGAUAUCUUGUUCUUUUUGUAUCCAGUGUUGCUUUAAUAAAUUUGACAGCAUUCUGAUUAUUAUUCCUGUGUAGGCAAUCUACUUUUUCUCUGUAGAAACUUUUAUAAUUAUUCAUUUUUCUUUGAUAUUCUCAAUAUAGAAUGUGUCCAUAUGUGUAUUUGCUUCCUUACCACUCCUGUAGCAAUCUAUGAGCCCAUUGUAUUUAAGAUCAUCCAUCUAGUAUUAUUGUGAAAUAAAUAGUUUUGAUAAUUUUUCAAAUAUCCUCUGAUUACUCCUAUUCUCUUACCUGUUUUCCUUUAUGUUUCUAUAUUUUUACCCCUUCUUCCUACGUUCUGACGGAGUUCUCUAAUCUGGUCUUAGGACUCAAAAAUUUGUUUUACAUUCUUUAUUUUUUAAUCCCUAUUACCCUGUUCAUUAAAUUUUUUUUUUGUUUUUAUGAUGUCUUGGUUUUACCUUAUAUUACUCAUGUUUCCUAAUUUUCUUAGAUAUAUUUUAUGCUUCUUUUACAUUAUUUUUUGUAUUGAGUUAAUUUUUUUGAAAAAAUUGUAAGAACACCUAAUAUGCAACCUACCCUCUUAACAGCUUAAAAAGUAUACAAUGCAGUAUUAUCAUUUGUAGGCACAAUAUUGUAUAGCAGACCUCUAGAACCUAUUCAUCUUUUUUAACUGAAAUUUUAUAUCGCUUGAUUAGGGCUCCCCAUUUCUCUCUCUUUCCAGCUCCUGGCAACCACCAUUCUAUUAUUUGCUUCUGUGAAUUUGAAUAUUUAAGAUAUAUAAGUGGUAUCAUGCAAUAUUUGUCAUUCUGUGAUUGAUUUAUUUCACUUAUUUUAAUGUCCUCAAGGUUCAUCUAUGUUGUCACACAUUGCAGGAUUUACUUUUUUUAAGGUUGAAUAACAUUUCAUUGAACAUAUAUACUAUAUAUUGUUUAUCCACUCAUCUGCCAAUGGAUAUUUUGGUUGUUUCUACCUCUUAGAUAUUGUGAAUAGUGCUGCCAGGAACAUGGAUACACAAGUAGCUCCUUGAGAUCCUGCUUUCAAUUCUUUUGAACAGAUACCCAGAAGUGGCAUUGCUGGUAAUAGCAAACCAUCUUGGACACAGCAGGGUCUAGUCCAUUAUGUGUACAGCAUUUCAUUAUACUUGCAAAAUUGUAACUAUG
Molecule: long non-coding RNA, 2389 nt
Filed under: Homo sapiens (human)
Lineage: Eukaryota; Metazoa; Chordata; Mammalia; Primates; Hominidae
Description: HSALNT0110381
Source: RNAcentral